UUGUCGUUAAGUUCUUUGGCAGCCUCGAUUGUGGUCGUGAUGACGACUUCCUCGUCCUCAUCGAAUUCCCCGACUAUGCGAGUAUGUUUUAUUCUUUUA
Long non-coding RNA from Melitaea cinxia (Glanville fritillary), 99 nucleotides. RefSeq lists it as uncharacterized. NCBI's taxonomy places the organism in Eukaryota, Metazoa, Arthropoda, Insecta, Lepidoptera, Nymphalidae. The transcript has 3 exons. The record is from RefSeq and is a predicted model, not a curated record.